RNAcentral lists this transfer RNA (74 nucleotides) under uncultured Actinomycetes bacterium. RNAcentral describes it as "uncultured actinobacterium tRNA-Arg". It matches the Rfam family "tRNA". From Rfam's summary of the family: Transfer RNA (tRNA) molecules are approximately 80 nucleotides in length. Lineage: Bacteria; Bacillati; Actinomycetota; Actinomycetes. The record is from RNAcentral. RNAcentral also lists the same sequence under 1 other name.
GCGCUCGUAGCUCAGUGGAUAGAGCAACCGCCUUCUAAGCGGUCGGCCGGAGGUUCGAGUCCUCCCGGGCGCGC